AGAGUUUGAUCAUGGCUCAGGAUGAACGCUGGCGGCGUGCCUAACACAUGCAAGUCGAGCGAUCUUCUUCGGAAGAGAGCGGCGGACGGGUGAGUAACGCGUGGGUAACCUGCCCUAUACACACGGAUAACAUACCGAAAGGUAUGCUAAUACGAGAUAAUAUAAGAGAUUCACAUGGAUUUCUUAUCAAAGCUGAGGCGGUAUAGGAUGGACCCGCGUCUGAUUAGCUAGUUGGUAAGGUAACGGCUUACCAAGGCGACGAUCAGUAGCCGACCUGAGAGGGUGAUCGGCCACAUUGGAACUGAGACACGGUCCAAACUCCUACGGGAGGCAGCAGUGGGGAAUAUUGCACAAUGGGCGAAAGCCUGAUGCAGCAACGCCGCGUGAGUGAUGAAGGCCUUCGGGUCGUAAAACUCUGUCCUCAAGGAAGAUAAUGACGGUACUUGAGGAGGAAGCCCCGGCUAACUACGUGCCAGCAGCCGCGGUAAUACGUAGGGGGCUAGCGUUAUCCGGAUUUACUGGGCGUAAAGGGUGCGUAGGUGGUCUCUUAAGUCAGGAGUGAAAGGCUACGGCUUAACCGUAGUAAGCUCUUGAAACUGGGAGACUUGAGUGCAGGAGAGGAAAGUGGAAUUCCUAGUGUAGCGGUGAAAUGCGUAGAUAUUAGGAGGAACACCAGUAGCGAAGGCGGCUUUCUGGACUGUAACUGACACUGAGGCACGAAAGCGUGGGGAGCAAACAGGAUUAGAUACCCUGGUAGUCCACGCCGUAAACGAUGAGUACUAGGUGUCGGGGGUUACCCCCCUCGGUGCCGCAGCUAACGCAUUAAGUACUCCGCCUGGGGAGUACGCUCGCAAGAGUGAAACUCAAAGGAAUUGACGG
Molecule: ribosomal RNA, 879 nt
Filed under: uncultured bacterium
Lineage: Bacteria
Description: bacterial SSU rRNA
Rfam family: Bacterial small subunit ribosomal RNA
Source: RNAcentral